This is a long non-coding RNA of Bos taurus (domestic cattle), 1578 nucleotides long. The record is from Ensembl. NCBI's taxonomy places the organism in Eukaryota, Metazoa, Chordata, Mammalia, Artiodactyla, Bovidae.
CUGCUAUUACAAAAUACUCUUUCUCACAACUCUUGAGAUAUCACAUAAGCAAGUACCCUUUGACAGUGGCAAAAGUGAAAAAAAGUGACAGCAAGAUCGGGUGGGCAGAAAUAUUCCAAACUUCAGGCCAUAAAUCCAGCAGCAGGAUGCACAUCAGCACUUUCUCCCUUUUGCCAACACAGCACAGCAUCUCCGGACGCCGGUCCUUGCCGUAUUGUGCAGAAGUGGUGUGUCAGUACCACAUUCAAUGAUAAGGCUGUUUACAAGUGGCAAAUUUAAGGCACUUAUGGUUCCCCAGAGUUUAUCUCCCUAAGGAUGGCAGAGCUCAAAGAGAAUGGAGGUUGGGGGUUUUGCCAGCAUAUUGUAGAAAAGCUUAAAGCUUCAUUUGCUGACCCAGACUUACAAAGAACUUGAGAAAUCAGGCAGCCUCAUGGGCCCGAGUUCCAGAUGAACACAAAUACAAGAUCACUACUCAACACAUGUUAAGCUCGCCUCCUGAUUCACUUGGAUGUGAUGGAUAGCUUUGAAUGAGAGCACCUGAGCGUGCUGUAAAGGGCUUAAUUAAAACCAGCAAAAUCGUCAACGCCUGUUCCUUAGGUGAGAUCGGAUACCAGGCCUGCAUUGAUCUGGAGCAGCGCUGUGCUAAAGUCCUCCUUAGGAAAAAAUCGGUGAAUUCUUUACCACAAGUGUAAUCUGAGAAGCCCUGAAGAAGCCUGAAGAGGCUGCACACACUCAGAGACAGCAGGGGGUAUGGCAUAUCCAGUUUAAGGAUGGUUGGUUAUACUUGGCACCAAGGAGCAAGUAAGAUUUCUCUAAGCUAUAAGCAGAGACUCUGAGGCUCCUGUUGCCUGGUGCCCAGCCUGCCUUGUUUGGCCUAGGACCUGAUAAAUUGUCCUCAGAAUGCUGUAGAAUUGAUCUACUUUCAGAGUUUCAGAUCUCCUUAAGGUCUGUGAGCAUUGACUGAGGAGAGAUGGAGCCUUCAACAGUGUAGAGAAAGAGCUGGAAAGGCUCUUUGUAACUGUGUAAUGAUUGCCUUAAACUUAACUCUUUCUUUACAAGGUUCAGAAUAAUUUCUCAUUACCAUUUAUGCUAACAGACCAUGAUAAGGACAUGGAGAUGUCUAAAUCCACUGAUUCACUGCAGAGAAAGGGGUAUUGGACAGUGCUCCAGAAGGAGUACCAUGUGUAUUUCAACUGUAAUCGGAGACAUCUAUUUUCAACCUCAACCACAAUCUGUGAGUACAUUUUAAAGUCCCCUUUUGGGGCAGAGAAACUAAACAGACUUUUUUUUCCAGAAAAGAAAGAGAUUGUCAACAAGCAUAUGAAGAGAUGCUCCAUAUCACUCAUCAUUAGGGAAAUGCCAAUAAAAAACCACCAGGAGAUAUCAUCUCACUCCUGUCAGAAUGGCUAUCACCAAAAAGACAAGAGAUAACACGUGCUGGUGAGGGUAUGGAGAAAAGGGAAUCCUCAUGUAUUAUUAGUGGAAAUGUAAACUGGUGCAACCACUACAGAAAACAAAAUAGAGGUUCCUCAAAAUAUUAAAAAUAUAACUAUUGUAUGAUCCAGCAUUUCUAUUUCU